Molecule: ribosomal RNA, 482 nt
Filed under: uncultured bacterium
Lineage: Bacteria
Description: partial 16S ribosomal RNA
Rfam family: Bacterial small subunit ribosomal RNA
Source: RNAcentral
AUUGAACGCUGGCGGCAUGCUUUACGCAUGCGAGUCGAACGGUAACAGGCCGCUAGGUGCUGACGAGUGGCGAACGGGUGAGUAAUGCAUCGGAACGUGCCCAGCCGUGGGGGAUAACUACUCGAAAGAGUAGCUAAUACCCCAUACGAUCUAUGGAUGAAAGCGGGGGACCGUAAGGCCUCGCGCGAUUGGAGCGGCCGAUGUCAGAUUAGGUAGUUGGUGGGGUAAAGGCUCACCAAGCCAACGAUCUGUAGCUGGUCUGAGAGGACGACCAGCCACACUGGGACUGAGACACGGCCCAGACUCCUACGGGAGGCAGCAGUGGGGAAUUUUGGACAAUGGGCGCAAGCCUGAUCCAGCAAUGCCGCGUGCAGGAAGAAGGCCUUCGGGUUGUAAGCUGCUUUUGUACGGAACGAAACGGCUCUGGUUAAUACCCGGGGCUAAUGACGGUACCGUAAGAAUAAGCACCGGCUAACUACGUG